Long non-coding RNA from Pogoniulus pusillus (Red-fronted tinkerbird), 1154 nucleotides. RefSeq lists it as uncharacterized. The transcript is spliced from 2 exons. Lineage: Eukaryota; Metazoa; Chordata; Aves; Piciformes; Lybiidae. The record is from RefSeq and is a predicted model, not a curated record.
GGUGCUCACUGGGUGACUGGUGGAGGGGAUCUAAAGGCCGGGGGGCCCUGCUGGCCCCCUGGUCAGGUAGGGAUAGGUUUGACAGUGCUUGGAACACCACCCACGGGUUCUGGCUGCACCUCCUUCCUCAGGCUGAGCUCCUCUGUGCUUUGCUGCUGCUUUCUGCUCCCUUGUAAGACUGUUGAAGGAACUUGGAAUUAAUCCUUUAAGUUCUUAGCUGUGGAGAAAGAAAAGAAGGGCACAGGAGGUUCUCCAAGUCUCUUCACCUGACCUGGGUGCCUCUGCAGCCUGCAUCUUACCCAGCCCUGGACUCGUGAGGCUUAAGGCUCUACCAUGUUGAUUCAGGGUGCCUCUGAAAAGAGCUGGUUCCCUUCCUCUUCACAAGGCUGCCCUAUUGCACUUAACAUAAGACCUCCAUCUGCAAAUGCCUUAAGCCAGAAGCUCACCACAGAAUCAACCUAGUUUCAGCCAGGAAGGCUCCUGUGUUCUUAACCAGAAGCUCACCAUGGAUUCAAUCUGGUUUCAGCCAGAAGCUCACCAUGGCAUCAACCAUGUUUAUAGGCACAAUAUAGUGCAGAAGCCAAUGUCCAUGGGUCCAGUUUUGUGCAUACAGACCUAUGUGAUUUACUGACCAUUAUCUGCACCUUGGCUCCUUCAGCUUGGAGUGAACUGGUUUGUGGCUGCUCGGAGGCUCUUGAAAAGCAACGUUUCUUACCUUCUCUUCCACUGCUGAUCUGGGUAAAAAACCCUUCAUCUUCCUGCCUAAGUAGGUUUUUUUCUGCAGAGGAGUAUAAAUUUUCUCUUGUGCCACCAGGACACUUUGCAACUAAGGAUUUUAUGGCACAGAGAGGGUGUAAUAAAGUCCCUCAUCUUCCAGCUCAGUAAAGCAAAACACAAAGGAGCUCUCUGAGCAACCAAAGAGCAUCAGCAUUAUUUUUAUCAUUCACAAGGAGUAGUGUUUGUAACAAGCCAGUGAUUUAAAAGGUGUUUAGAAAGCAGUGGCAUGGUGAAGGCUUAGCUCAGCAAAACACUUGAACUAGAAAAACCCAAACGACACCAGGAAAAAACCCAACCCCCAAACAACACAGAUCCAACUAGUGAGGGACAGAAGCAGUUACUCAAGUCACAACAAAAUGGAGUUGGAAUACAUAUUU